CCUACGGGAGGCAGCAGUGGGGAAUAUUGCACAAUGGGGGAAACCCUGAUGCAGCGACGCCGCGUGAGUGAAGAAGUAAUUCGUUAUGUAAAGCUCUAUCAGCAGGGAAGAAAAUGACGGUACCUGAGUAAGAAGCCCCGGCUAACUACGUACCAGCAGCCGCGGUAAUACGUAGGGGGCAAGCGUUAUCCGGAUUUACUGGGUGGAAAGGGAGCGUAGACGGCAGGGCAAGUCUGGAGUGAAAGGCGGGGGCUCAACCCCCGGACUGCUCUGGAAACUGUACGGCUGGAGUGCAGGAGAGGUAAGUGGAAUUCCUAGUGUAGCGGUGAAAUGCGUAGAUAUUAGGAGGAACACCAGUGGCGAAGGCGGCUUACUGGACUGUAACUGACGUUGAGGCUCGAAAGCGUGGGGAGCAAACAGGAUUAGAUACCCGUGUAGUC
This 440-nucleotide ribosomal RNA is filed under the name uncultured bacterium. RNAcentral describes it as "partial 16S ribosomal RNA". It matches the Rfam family "Bacterial small subunit ribosomal RNA", at positions 338 to 795 of the family's 1533-position model. The record is from RNAcentral.